RNAcentral lists this ribosomal RNA (497 nucleotides) under uncultured bacterium. Its description in RNAcentral is "partial 16S ribosomal RNA". It matches the Rfam family "Bacterial small subunit ribosomal RNA", at positions 28 to 507 of the family's 1533-position model. The record is from RNAcentral.
GAUGAACGCUGGCGGCGUGCCUAAUACAUGCAAGUCGAGCGAACGGACGAGAAGCUUGCUUCUCUGAUGUUAGCGGCGGACGGGUGAGUAACACGUGGAUAACCUACCUAUAAGACUGGGAUAACUUCGGGAAACCGGAGCUAAUACCGGAUAAUAUUUUGAACCGCAUGGUUCAAAAGUGAAAGACGGUCUUGCUGUCACUUAUAGCUGGAUCCGCGCUGCAUUAGCUAGUUGGUAAGGUAACGGCUUACCAAGGCAACGAUUCAUAGCCGACCUGAGAGGGUGAUCGGCCACACUGGAACUGAGACCCGGUCCAGACUCCUACGGGAGGCAGCAGUAGGGAACCUUCCGCAAUGCGCGAAAGCCUGACCGAGCAACGCCGCGUGAGUGAUGAGGGUCUUCGGUUCGUAAAACUCUGUUAUUAGGGAAGAACAUAUGUGUAAGUAACUGUGCACAUCUUGACGGUACCUAAUCAGAAAGCCACGGCUAACUACGUG